This is a long non-coding RNA of Olea europaea var. sylvestris, 954 nucleotides long. RefSeq lists it as uncharacterized. The record is from RefSeq and is a predicted model, not a curated record. The transcript has 2 exons. NCBI's taxonomy places the organism in Eukaryota, Viridiplantae, Streptophyta, Magnoliopsida, Lamiales, Oleaceae.
ACAGGUCGAUGAUUUUAGUGAACUGAUGAAAUCUUAUAGAUCAAACACACAUUUGCUUUGCAGUCAAUGACUAAUAACAAUUCUUUUCUAUCAUCUGAAAUCUAGACGUUGUGGACAAAAAAGCAAAGAGAAUCUGAAUACUCCGUAAAAUCUCAUCCUGAAAUUAAGUCCCAAGUAAAACGUAGAGGCUUCAGACUGGCUCAAGAUUCAUCAAGUCCGGCAUCUCUGAAUUGACUAUUAAAAUAAUAACAUCAAGCUUAAGCUUGAGAAUUCUAACAUUAUUUUGGCAAGUUUAGGAACCAGCAGAAAGAAUUGUGGACUGUAUCCUACAUAAAGGUGAAAUUAUAAGAAUUGUGGACUGUAUCCUACAUAAAGGUGAAAUUAUAAGAAUUGUGGACUGUAUCCUACAUAAAGGUGAAAUUAUAAGAAUUGUGGACUGUAUCCUACAUAAAGGUGAAAUUAUAAGAAUUGUGGACUGUAUCCUACAUAAAGGUGAAAUUAUAAGAAUUGUGGACUGUAUCCUACAUAAAGGUGAAAUUACGUGUCUAAUGAAAAGCAACCACGAAGACGUGCAUGAUUAUCCAAUGGCAUUAAUCAGUGAAUCUGCAACAUAAAAGAUCUGAACAUAUUGAAUGGACUCCAUAUAAGGAUUUGAGUACCCAUGUUGGACAACUACAUACUCAAGACACGGAUAAUGGAAGUUACAUAUGGAUCCUUCGUUUUAAGCAUAAAAUGACCCUUUUUUUCCCAAAUGCAAGAACACUUGAAUUGACAUAAUCUGUCAAGACUCAUUCCUCUAGUCCAUUUAAUGCAGCGCACAGUGGAUAUGUUCCACAUAAACUAAUACAAAAACUUGUGUAGAAGAUGGAACUUUAAAGAAUAGUUGCAGUUUUUUUUUUUUCCAUUUUUAGUGAUCCCAAUUUAAUAAGAGAUUAGAUCCAAAACUAAAGUUGG